This 674-nucleotide ribosomal RNA is filed under the name Salmonella enterica subsp. enterica serovar Agona. Its description in RNAcentral is "partial 23S ribosomal RNA". It matches the Rfam family "Bacterial large subunit ribosomal RNA", at positions 1175 to 1831 of the family's 2925-position model. The record is from RNAcentral. Lineage: Bacteria; Pseudomonadati; Pseudomonadota; Gammaproteobacteria; Enterobacterales; Enterobacteriaceae.
ACGGGGCUAAACCAUGCACCGAAGCUGCGGCAGCGACACUCAGGUGUUGUUGGGUAGGGGAGCGUUCUGUAAGCCUGCGAAGGUGGCCUGUGAGGGUUGCUGGAGGUAUCAGAAGUGCGAAUGCUGACAUAAGUAACGAUAAAGCGGGUGAAAAGCCCGCUCGCCGGAAGACCAAGGGUUCCUGUCCAACGUUAAUCGGGGCAGGGUGAGUCGACCCCUAAGGCGAGGCCGAAAGGCGUAGUCGAUGGGAAACGGGUUAAUAUUCCCGUACUUGGUGUUACUGCGAAGGGGGGACGGAGAAGGCUAUGUUGGCCGGGCGACGGUUGUCCCGGUUUAAGCGUGUAGGUGUGUGUUCCAGGUAAAUCCGGUUCACUUUAACACUGAGGCGUGACGACGAGGCACUACGGUGCUGAAGCAACAAAUGCCCUGCUUCCAGGAAAAGCCUCUAAGCAUCAGGUAACAUCAAAUCGUACCCCAAACCGACACAGGUGGUCAGGUAGAGAAUACCAAGGCGCUUGAGAGAACUCGGGUGAAGGAACUAGGCAAAAUGGUGCCGUAACUUCGGGAGAAGGCACGCUGACACGUAGGUGAAGUGAUUUACUCAUGGAGCUGAAGUCAGUCGAAGAUACCAGCUGGCUGCAACUGUUUAUUAAAAACACAGCACUGUGCAAACA